GAUGAAGAACGCAGCUAAAUGCGAUAAGUAGUGUGAAUUGCAGAAUUCAGUGAAUCAUCGAAUCUUUGAACGCACAUUGCGCCCCUUGGUAUUCCAUGGGGCAUGCCUGUUCGAGCGUCAUUUGUACCUUCAAGCUCUGCUUGGUGUUGGGUGUUUGUCUCGCCUCUGCGCGCAGACUCGCCUCAAAACAAUUGGCAGCCGGCGUAUUGAUUUCGGAGCGCAGUACAUCUCGCGCUUUGCACUCAUAACGACGACGUCCAAAAGUACAUUUUUACACUCUUGACCUCGGAUCAGGUAGGGAUACCCGCUGAACUUAAGCAUAUCAAUAAGCGGAGGA
RNAcentral lists this unclassified non-coding RNA (337 nucleotides) under soil metagenome. RNAcentral describes it as "partial contains 5.8S ribosomal RNA, internal transcribed spacer 2, and large subunit ribosomal RNA". The stretch from base 1 to 120 matches the Rfam family "5.8S ribosomal RNA", at positions 35 to 154 of the family's 154-position model. The record is from RNAcentral.